Molecule: long non-coding RNA, 234 nt
Filed under: Elaeis guineensis (African oil palm)
Lineage: Eukaryota; Viridiplantae; Streptophyta; Magnoliopsida; Arecales; Arecaceae
Description: long non-coding RNA (EGUI_LNC028648)
Source: RNAcentral
GAAGGAUCCUCACAAAUCGGAAAGAGCUUGAAACUUUGCUCCUCUUUUCUGGGUGGUAGGGACGGUCAGAGUGCCAUGCUUCUAGAAGGCCUCAUUGGCUCGAGCAUACUUCUCAACCCAAUCUAGCAUUUCUAUGAAGUCCUUCGGAUACUUCUUCUCUAAUGAGUAAAGAAGAAAAUUUUGUUGGAGUCUGCCUUUAAAGGCGGUCAUAGUGACUGACUGGUCUAGGUCACA